Molecule: ribosomal RNA, 116 nt
Filed under: Pteropus alecto (black flying fox)
Lineage: Eukaryota; Metazoa; Chordata; Mammalia; Chiroptera; Pteropodidae
Source: RNAcentral
GUCUACCGCCAUGCCACCCUGAACAAACCCAAUGUCUGAUCUCGGAAGCUAAACAGAGUCGGGCCUGGUUAGUACUUGGAUGGGAGACCACCUAAGAAGACCAGGUGCUGUAGGCA